GUUAAGCCCCAGCCCGUGUCUAUCCAGAAAGACUACUCAACUUCUCUGAUGUCCCACGAACAGAACCAGCCCGCUCACCUCUCUCUCUCCCCCAAGAACAGAGCACGGCCGCCGUCGCCUAGAUCUGCCCCGUACGGGCAUCUCCGGCGACACGGCGGACACCUAUAGAUUCCCCUCGUCUCCCUCUACCAUUUCCCCCUAUUUAUUUGAUCGGCCACCACCAAAAACGCCGCCACCACUCAAUCCUAGCGCCGCUCGAUCCAGGUCUGGUGGGCUUGCCACCGGCUGCAGCGGCAACGACGUAUCCAUGCCUACAUCCUCCCCCCAGCGCAGCCACACACACAAGGCGUGCAGCCACGAGCGUCGGGCGCGUGCGGCUUCACCGGCGCUGCUCGGUUGCCAUGGCUUUGCUGCUAACGGUGUGGACUAGCCACAUCCUACUGCUACUACUGCUAAAUAGAUCAAGGUGAAUAGAUGCUCAUGGACUGAUUCAAACCGAGGUGGAGAUAGAUAAGAAGUCAAGCAAGAAGGGCUAACACAACAAGGUACUUGAUAAGUACCUGGUGGCGCAUGCAACCCAAAGAGCUUCACAGCAGUGGAGGAUAGUAGUGUGGCAGAAAGUGAAAAGGCAAGGUGAAAAGGCAGAGGGGUUUCUCUAGCGGAUGAUUGUGUGUGGCCACAGUGAAAGGGAUGACUCCUAUUUAAAGUGGGGUGAACAGCUAUGUCGGUUUGGAGACGCAUUACAUCUGGCAUGCAUGCGUGGUUACUCUUGCAUGCAUGCCUCCACUUGUGUCUCUUGUGGGCUGUAUUAGGGACAAGUGUGAAUUUACUUGGCUGACCAUUAGUUGGCAUUUACUUUGUGUGAGAGAAAUGAGACAAGGGUCUAUAAAAUAUAGGGAGGUUUGUAGAAGAAUUGUUGUGUAUGACUAAAUGCUAUUUCCUGUAAAAAUAUAUUAAAAGUAGUUGUUUCUAUUAUUUUAAUUAAUGUUUAGGCAACGCUGUUGAAAUUAUC
This 1012-nucleotide ribosomal RNA is filed under the name Triticum aestivum (bread wheat). RNAcentral describes it as "partial small subunit ribosomal RNA". Lineage: Eukaryota; Viridiplantae; Streptophyta; Magnoliopsida; Poales; Poaceae. The record is from RNAcentral.